Mycena leptocephala is the source of this 92-nucleotide non-coding RNA. NCBI's taxonomy places the organism in Eukaryota, Fungi, Basidiomycota, Agaricomycetes, Agaricales, Mycenaceae. The record is from the annotation of a GenBank genome assembly.
GGCUCGGUGGUGGAUGGUCCACAUCUGUUUCUCAUGCAGAUGUAUCUUGCCAAUGUAAGCAGAAGCAGCCUGUUCGAGUCAGGGCCGAGCCA